RNAcentral lists this ribosomal RNA (433 nucleotides) under uncultured bacterium. RNAcentral describes it as "partial 16S ribosomal RNA". It matches the Rfam family "Bacterial small subunit ribosomal RNA", at positions 29 to 507 of the family's 1533-position model. The record is from RNAcentral.
AAUGAACGCUGGCGGCAGGCCUAACACAUGCAAGUCGAGCGAGCAUUUCGGUGCUAGCGGCGGACGGGUGAGUAACGCGUGGGAACGUGCCCUUUUCUGCGGAAUAGUCCUGGGAAACUGGGGGUAAUACCGCAUACGCCCUUUUGGGGAAAGAUUUAUCGGAGAAGGAUCGGCCCGCGUUGGAUUAGGUAGUUGGUGGGGUAAUGGCCCACCAAGCCGACGAUCCAUAGCUGGUUUGAGAGGAUGAUCAGCCACACUGGGACUGAGACACGGCCCAGACUCCUACGGGAGGCAGCAGUGGGGAAUCUUAGACAAUGGGGGCAACCCUGAUCUAGCCAUGCCGCGUGAGUGAUGAAGGCCUUAGGGUUGUAAAGCUCUUUCAGCUGGGAAGAUAAUGACGGUACCAGCAGAAGAAGCCCCGACUAACUCCGUG